RNAcentral lists this long non-coding RNA (479 nucleotides) under Elaeis guineensis (African oil palm). Its description in RNAcentral is "long non-coding RNA (EGUI_LNC044566)". Lineage: Eukaryota; Viridiplantae; Streptophyta; Magnoliopsida; Arecales; Arecaceae. The record is from RNAcentral.
GCCAAGGUCCAUCAUUCAUGAGGGCUUCAUGGAGGCUCUAGGGCUAGUUGGGCCCUAGGUUGAAAGGCUGUGGGCUUUUCGGGUUCUUGAGGUCUAGGUUAUGUGGGCCUCAAGGGACCAACUCUUUAUGGGCCAGGUCUGGGCCCAGGAUAGGUGAGAUUAGGUCGAGUCAUGGGUGUACAUGGGCUUGGGUUAACCUAAUCUCCCAUAGAGUUGGUCAAGGGAGUUUUGGGUUUGGGUCACUUGAUCCGGUGUUUAUAUAUACAUAUACUUGUAUAGGUUUGAUCAAGCCAAGUAAUAGAUGACUCUUUCUCCCAAGUCUCUCUCUCUCUUCUCCCUCUCUCUCCAGCCAUCCUCCAUGCCCCAGGAUCAAGAAACCCUAGGGUUUCUUGCUGCCAGGUCCAGAUAAGGAAAGAAAGAAGGGAGGCGCUAGCCCCUUCCUCCUUGCAGUCGCCAACCAGAUUUCUCUCCUCCUCUCU